GGCCGGUUGGCCCAAUGGUAAGGCGUCUGACUACGAAUGUGGAAACCUCGGUUUGGCGUGUAAUCAGGAGAUUCUGGGUUCGAGCCCCAGGCUGGUCA
Molecule: transfer RNA, 98 nt
Filed under: Ustilago sp. UG-2017a
Lineage: Eukaryota; Fungi; Basidiomycota; Ustilaginomycetes; Ustilaginales; Ustilaginaceae
Description: transfer RNA-Arg(ACG)
Rfam family: tRNA
About the family: Transfer RNA (tRNA) molecules are approximately 80 nucleotides in length. Their secondary structure includes four short double-helical elements and three loops (D, anti-codon, and T loops).
Source: RNAcentral